CACAUUUCUCUUCCGCCGCAGAGCUUGCACUUGUCCACUCCCACACGCACACACAAACACACACGGACGCGCACUUGGAUUCGUCUGUGGUGCCGCGUUGCUCUUGUUGUUUGCUGAGGCUUUCCCUCACACAGUUUUCCUGCGUUUUUUUUUUGCGAUCACGUUCGCUGCUGUCACGACCACUGCUUUUCUUGUGAUCUUUUUUCUGUUUGUGGGCGUGCGAUUCCGGCAUUGGCCGUCAUGCGCAUAAGCGCCUCGCUCGGUUUCGUGUGUGUUUCUGUGCGCUGCAAGUGCAAGAGAAGGAGGGAGUGGGGGUUGGGGAACAAAAAAGGGCAGCAGGCGCCCUGGUCUCAAGGCUUGUCUUGGCAACGUGCUCCAAAACCCCGCCAACGAGAUCUUGAGCGAGAACUCGCGCAUCACGCACAAACACGGGAGGGGCACCUUCCUCUUGUGCGACCAUUACUGCUGCAACGAUUGUUGCCCAGCUGGCGCCUUCUCCUCUUCUACCGGCAAUAUGCAGUCGCCACCUUCAGGCUCAUCCGCAGAGCAGCCGCUAAAAGGCGCAUUGCCGUUAGACACAAAGGAAUGCCAGCGUAACCCCCCCACACAAGGUGACACGAAGAGCACACCAGCCUGCUAUGAGCCCUUGAAAUUGCUACGCGACCAGCUGAACGCGCAUAAAUGCCCCAUCAGCAACUUAGCCUCCUGUCUCCGGCCAGAGUCAACCAUGGCCGGAGCGCGGUCAUACACACAAAGGGAGGAAGCAUCCGUGAUCACCACCCCAUCUAGCUUUACCAAGGGCUCGGUCUCCUUGUUCCCCGACUUGUCUUGGCGGCCCGAAGUCACUGGCACUGCGGCGGCACACCACAACGACCACGAUAGCACGCGGAUGUCGCCGGACCUCGGCUACCCACUCCUUUCGGAAGCCUUUAGCAGCAUCGCACCGGGCGUGCUGCCAAUGCAUCCGCCAGAGGAAGAGCAUAAAGAUGCGGUGACGCAGGCAGCUGUUUUGCCGCAGCCAUCGACUACGCCGAUACUUGUCCCGUCCAUCGGAGCAUCCCACCCAACUUUGCAGAAGGGCUGUGUGGCCUCAUCACCAGCCGACACAUGGCAGGGCGUAGCGGUGCAAAACGUGCUUUCGUUUUCAUCCUCGUCGCUCAUGUCGGCUGCCUCAUCGCAGCUCAAUCAGUUGCGCGGCGCAGGGUUGAUCCGGUGUCACUCGGCUCCAGCGCUGCAUAAGGUGGCAAACAGGAAUAAGGCUCUGGUGCACAGGUCGUCACCUGAGGAGGAAGUGAACCGGCCUCGGUCUGCUGUUGUGAAAGUAGCCACUUUAGCGUUUAUAAGCCCCACGGCACACCAUGGCGACGAGUCUUUUUCCGCACAGCCUCCGCAUGGCGCGAAUCUCACGUCAAGCUCUGGGCCGCGUGCGUCGUGCUUGAGAGCGACCACCAGCGUUUCAGGCUCGGCGGUGGAGGAGGUAGCGGCUGUGGCCGUAGCUGGCGUUGGCUCACGCGAGUUUUCGUUGCGCUCCCCCAAUAGCUCGAUUGUCACUUUCAUCGACCACGAGCUCGACAUCAGUACAGCGGACUCAGGCGUCUUCCACGCUGGUGACGACCUCCAUGACGCGUCGGAGGCAGAAAGCCUCCUCGAGUGCGAGGUCGGGCGGCAGCACAGCGGCACAAAGCGCUACCUGCUUACCGACACGCGCUCAUCCCUCUUGCCCGGCGCGCAUGUGAGGCCGUUGAUGUCAAGAUCAACGGUGCGGCAUAGGCGCCUGCCGGCGGUUGUGACGUCAGUGCCGCAGUCUGCACAUCUCACAUCUGAGUACGCUGCCGCUGUUCAAGCAGCGGCUAAGCAUGGUCGCAGCCUGCGUCAGAUCCUGGCAAGGUGCGGCGACGCCGAUGACGCCUUGCGAGAUUCUGGAGAGGCACUGAGCGAACUGUAAGAAAAGAGCUCGAGGCAGACACGCCGCCUCGUUUUUGUUUGUUGCCGAAUCACCCUUGGCCGGGCACUGCUUACAUACGUUCUCUUUUGGCGCACGAGUGCGUGCUGAAAUUGCGUCUUUCCCACUAUUGUGCUGCUUCACAACCCCUUUUUUGUGCUCAAUAUAUAUGUUUCUACUUCUUUGCGUGCGCUCCUGAUGACAGGGGGACAUCUCCGCCUGGCAUCCGCGGCCUAGCGCCCCUCCCUCUCCGCACUCUAUGUGGGAGGGGUGGAGGGGGAGCCGGGAAGGCCUUUCAUCCCUGCCAAUAUCGAGCUGUUUCUGGUGCUGACAGGUUCAAGCACUUAGAACUUAGGGGUAAGCCCGAGUGAUGCAUCGCUGCUGAUGUCGGCGGUCAGGCGCUGGCCGGCGAUUUUCUGAAGCGACCCGCAAGGAGUUGGUCGAUGGACUUUGAGGCAGGGUGCGUUCAGAGAUGACCGAGUGGGCGCAUUGCCGCAACGCCUGGCGAAAGCGAUGGCUGACAGCACGCGAUGAGGGCCUUUGGCAAGCCUGGGCUAGUGUGGAGUAUAGCGCAUGCUCGCUGACGGCGAGUGGGCACGUUGGCCUUACCCCCCCCCCCCCCCCACACCUCCCGCGCCAAACAAAGACAACAUCAGACAAAACAGAGAAGCAAGGCGCAUGCGAAAGC
RNAcentral lists this unclassified non-coding RNA (2630 nucleotides) under Leishmania donovani. RNAcentral describes it as "gene:LdHU3.32.2580(CDS-product:hypothetical_prote in_conserved)". The record is from RNAcentral. Lineage: Eukaryota; Euglenozoa; Kinetoplastea; Trypanosomatida; Trypanosomatidae.